Molecule: ribosomal RNA, 501 nt
Filed under: uncultured bacterium
Lineage: Bacteria
Description: bacterial SSU rRNA
Rfam family: Bacterial small subunit ribosomal RNA
Source: RNAcentral
AGUGAACGCUGGCGGCGUGCCUAAUACAUGCAAGUCGAACGCGAAAGUCCUUCGGGAUGAGUAAAGUGGCGCACGGGUGAGUAAUGGUUGAGAACAUGCCCUGAGGUGGGGAAUAACAGUUGGAAACGACUGCUAAUACCGCAUGGUCACGGAAGUGUAAAGGUGGGGCUCGCAAGACCUACCGCCACAGGAUUGGCUCAACUCCCAUUAGCUAGUUGGCAGGGUAACGGCCUACCAAGGCAACGAUGGGUAUGUGGUCUUAGAGGAUGAUCACACACACUGGAACUGAGACACGGUCCAGACUCCUACGGGAGGCAGCAGUAGGGAAUAUUGCACAAUGGAGGAAACUCUGAUGCAGCAACGCCGCGUGAGUGAAGAAGGCCCUUGGGUCGUAAAGCUCUUUAGCCUGGAAAGAAGUGCCUGAAGGUAAACAAUCUUCAGGUGUGACGGUACCAGGAGAAUAAGGACCGGCUAAUUUCGUGCCAGCAGCCGCGGUAAAAC